CGUUGUUAAAAUGUCUGGGAAGAGGAAACUAGACAUUUCAACACAGAAUGAGUGAUGAAACAAAAGGUUCAAGUGAAUUUAACGUGAAGCCAGGAAGAUCUGUCACUGUCAUUUUCCUUGGCAUUUUCUGAACAGGCUGGAAGCUAACAUAUCAGUCUAUGUUACUGAAAUGACUAGAAGUGUUGUUUACUCUUUUGUCUACUACUGCCUCACCUGGCCUGUUGUUUCAGUUCCCUAUCCAUUUGAAUCACCUUUUAAAAUACCAGGAUUCCUUUAAUUUGUACGUAAGUAUUUGGAUAUCUCAGAAACUGUAAAGAGCUCUGAACAAGAAAGUCUGUUAAAUGCUUGAAUUAAUCAGUCAUCAAUGGAUAGUCUCUGAUAAUAGAUGUGCCAAGCAAAUGCAUGGCUUGACACAUCCAACAUCCUUCCUUAAAUGUCCAUAAUACUUUAAAAUGAGACAUUGCUAGUGGCUGUUAUAAAGGAUGUGCUGUGUUUUCUAUCAAAUGCAAAGUGGAAGGCUUGAAAUGGAAAGAUGUCCUAUUCUGCAGAACAAUGAUGCAGUGCACUUAGGAUAAUUAUGUUCCAUUGACUGUCUCCCCCAUGGAUACAUCAAGUGUGACUGUGCAUAUUUCUAUUCAGAAAUAACAUGCAAGUAAGUAUGCACAAAACAGCUACUACUUGAAGCAGCAAUCAUGCAAGCAUAUGUAUAGUUUGUCUUUGGUCCAAUUUCAUUUAAUGUCUAUAUGUUUUAAAGGAUAAGGUUGGUGAUAUUCUAUAUUUUUCUACUUGUCAACAAACCCCAUGAAAAUACUGAAAUGAUGAAUAGAUACUACUAACAAGUAUUGCCUGUGUAACCAAAGCCUGCUAUGGCUUAUUCCUUUGUGCCAUAGAGCUCAACUGUUGUCCAAAAACUACUAAAAACACAUCAAUGAGCCACAAUGUGUGUCACGAUGAGUGACAUGUUCCAUCAUGACAAUGAACUGUAGUUAUUUUGAGUACUCACUAGAGCACCAAAUGAGUCCCCAAUUUACUCUUUGUCACAACAUCAACCUAAUUCUAGUUCCACAUUUUCUAUCUGCUCUCUUCCCUUGCCAUAUACAAACUCUUCUGUGCCCUGCAGUAACCCCUGUAUUUCUGUCAUUUCCCAUUACACCUGCCCCGCCCACCUGCACACCUGUUCCCACUUCGCCAUUAACCUUGCAGUAUAUAUACCGGCCAAUUCCUAUUCAUUCUUUGUCUUUCUCAUUCUUUAAUGUGUUUUCAACUUAGCUUUCUAGCACUUUUCAUUGCCUGCCUGAUCCCCUGCUUGUUUUUAGACUUCUGCCCCUUUGCCUGAUGUCUUACUGGGAAAAAGGAAACAGAUCGGGUGUGUCCCAGUCUUCCAUGAGUCGUGCGCUCCCCUUGGUCAUCAAAGCCCUCAUCAGGUCAUCACCCAGUGACUUCACGGCCCUCAGGUGACACGGCAUUAACAGCACUCAUUAUCUGUCCCCAUUCCUUGGUUUUAGCAGGUCCUUUAAUUCCACUGCUGAUGCUGUUAGAAAUUACAGACUUGCUUAUGGAUCUCCGAAAGCAGCACUUCAAUCUCUGAACUCAUGGAGUUCUUCUUUUUACUCUUCUGUGCCAUUUUCACGAGGAACACGUCCUGACAUGUGGGGCAGGAUGAGUAGGCUUUCCACUGUAACCCGGUUACUAAAGGAAGGCACAUCAUGUGAACUUUAAUUUUCCUAGGAAAGUCUUAACUCGCUGGACAAGCAAUAGACUACUUUGUGGUUGUUGAACACACUUUUGGAUCCUGAUCGUUAUUCCCCAUAAUGGUCCCAUACCUGAAGGAACAUUUCGACCGUUAGAACUGCAGACAGCACGGACCUGGUUCCGUCAGUAUCCGGCCUUGAGAGGAUUUCACCUGAAAACUAGACGGACUGACGCAUUAAAUCGCUAUCAAGAGCGAUCUCAAGUAAGAGGCUUGUGUCUGGGCAGAGAUAGAUUUUAUAACUGUGUUAUUUCAUCUAAGCUUCAUUGUUGUGAAUUGUGCUGUGCUUAUUUUGGAAAGUAGCGGACUGCCGCGUCCUGUUUUGCUGUGAUUUUUUUUUUUGUGUGCUUAGCACGUUCCAUUUUGUGUCUGUACCAUGCCACUGGACCACUUAACUGUGUUAGUUUAGCCACUAUGGAAGCUAAUAACUGUGCUUUAUCAGACCAAAGUCCAGUAACACGGCUGUUGAAUGAAAGUUUGCUGCUGGGUUCCUGUGUGAUAAAGGAACAGCUAUUGUGCUCUGCCAUGGCAUUUGAGAUUUCUUGUGCUUUACUCUGUGUGCUUUCAUUCUCUUUCCUCUCCACUAGCCCACACACCUUUACACAUACAUAUACACUACACACACACACACACACACACACACACACACACACACACAUCUCAAAUGAACCAGAUAGUGUGGUAGCAUAACUAGUUAUGCUCCACGUUAUCUUGAGGACAAAUAAAGCGCGUCCUCCAAUCGGGCGGUCCCCUUUGUUUGAGUUUUACGUGUCUGCAUGUGAUAACCACCCACGUGGUAAUGUCCGUCGUCUGAUUGUUGUAUGCUUAUUGUGUUUAGAUUAAACAGUAUUUUCAGAUUUUUAUAUUAACAUAAGUACCAUAGCCGCUCAAUACA
Siniperca chuatsi (mandarin fish) is the source of this 2645-nucleotide long non-coding RNA. RefSeq lists it as uncharacterized. The transcript has 3 exons. NCBI's taxonomy places the organism in Eukaryota, Metazoa, Chordata, Actinopteri, Centrarchiformes, Sinipercidae. The record is from RefSeq and is a predicted model, not a curated record.